AGCCCUGAGGUGUUUUACAUAUUAGAUUGCAAAUCUAAAGAAGCAAGUUAAACGCUUGCCGGGGCUU
RNAcentral lists this transfer RNA (67 nucleotides) under Epinephelus polyphekadion. RNAcentral's name for it is "tRNA-Cys". It matches the Rfam family "tRNA". From Rfam's summary of the family: Transfer RNA (tRNA) molecules are approximately 80 nucleotides in length. Their secondary structure includes four short double-helical elements and three loops (D, anti-codon, and T loops). The record is from RNAcentral. Lineage: Eukaryota; Metazoa; Chordata; Actinopteri; Perciformes; Serranidae. RNAcentral also lists the same sequence under 4 other names.